Molecule: ribosomal RNA, 440 nt
Filed under: uncultured bacterium
Lineage: Bacteria
Description: partial 16S ribosomal RNA
Rfam family: Bacterial small subunit ribosomal RNA
Source: RNAcentral
CCUACGGGUGGCAGCAGUGGGGAAUAUUGCACAAUGGGGGAAACCCUGAUGCAGCGACGCCGCGUGAGCGAUGAAGUAUUUCGGUAUGUAAAGCUCUAUCAGCAGGGAAGAAAAUGACGGUACCUGAAUAAGAAGCCCCGGCUAACUCCGUGCCAGCAGCCGCGGUAACACGUAGGGGGCAAGCGUUAUCCGGAUUGACUGGGUGUAAAGGGAGCGUAGACGGCUGUGUAAGCCAGAUGGGAAAGCCCGGGGCUCAACCCCGGGACUGCAUUUGGAACUGUGUGGCUGGAGUGUCGGAGAGGCAUGCGGAAUUCCUGGUGUAGCGGUGAAAUGCGUAGAUAUUAGGAGGAACACCAGUGGCGAAGGCGGCCUGCUGGACGAUGACUGACGUUGAGGCUCGAAAGCGUGGGGAGCAAACAGGAUUAGAUACCCCUGUAGUC